This 976-nucleotide long non-coding RNA is filed under the name Olea europaea subsp. europaea. Lineage: Eukaryota; Viridiplantae; Streptophyta; Magnoliopsida; Lamiales; Oleaceae. The record is from RNAcentral.
GUUUAUAUAUAUAAAGAGCUGGGGAUGAUCCAAAUACGUUAAGGUAAUGUGUUGAUCAUGCUUGAGGAAAUUUGUUGAUGUAGUUGUUUGCGGAUGUGUGUGGGCGGCCACCCUUAAAUUCUUUUACAAAUGUCUUUUACACAUAUAUUGUAUGUAGAUUUUUUUUUUAAUAACCAAUUAAAGUACAAGUUAUUCGAGUACUUUUGAACUCUAUGUUUCGAUUGCCCCAAGUUUUUUUAUGAAAAAAAAAAUUAUUAUCUUUAAAAUCUAAUAAGUUAUAUUUCCAUACUAUAAUUUGCUUAUUUUGCUUGGCUAAAAGAAAAGUUUGAAUUCCAUUUCAACGUCGUGUACGUAAAUUAGCUAGAAAUUCAAAGACGGUAAGAGGUAAUAUCAUUUUAUACAUAUCUAUUGCAUUUUUUAUACAAGUUUCACACCCAAAUUUGUUUUCCUUUCGAUUUCUUGAUAUGUUUACGGGUUAGUAAAAUCAUUCAAAGCGUACAUUUUUUUAAUAGAAAUACCUCAAUUGAUUGGUUGACCUCUAGCCGUGCAUGGAGACAUGUGUUGAAACCUCAUUAGAAAAAGUUAUUAAUCAUAACAAUAUUUUUAUUUAUUCAUUUCUAUACAUGAAGCAUUAAAGUCAAUAAAUGUUAAAGUUGUUAUAACACCUUCUCAUGCAAUCUAUUUACUUGACCUGCCCUCGGGGACAUAGCCCAGUGGUGCAAAGGACAAGAGUGAGGUUAUCUCACGUCUUAUUGGCAGCCGCAGUGUGGGGGUUCGAUUUCUGAGAAAUGGAAUUUGACUCCUUAUAGGCGCAGUGUACAUGCAGCUCUUGUUCUCUAACUUGUUGGGGCACAUCCUGCAAUUUACGUCCCUCAUAAAGCUCUAAGGACGGGACGGUGGGGACCCUCAAGACUGGGGUUCAACCAUUUUUUUAUUUAAUUGACCUAACUCUUUUUCUUUCUAUAUAGGAUAUUGG